This is a long non-coding RNA of Planococcus citri (citrus mealybug), 1792 nucleotides long. RefSeq lists it as uncharacterized. The record is from RefSeq and is a predicted model, not a curated record. The transcript has 7 exons. NCBI's taxonomy places the organism in Eukaryota, Metazoa, Arthropoda, Insecta, Hemiptera, Pseudococcidae.
AGAGGAUGAACGACAUUUUAAAAGUUAGUAACGAGAGAAUUCUUUACAAAAGUCGCCGAGCGUGUUCUGUGCAUUGCUCCGGUAUGCCGAGGGCUAACAAAAGAGUUUUAGUAUAUUUUGUCACCAAGGUAUAGAAUAGCUUUUUCAUAGUCGACAAUGAGUGCUAUAAAUCAUUAUUAUGAAUAUAUAUGUAUAGUCGAGUAAUAUAAGACUUUAUUGUUUAAAGUGAGCAAGAAUGGAAGCAGAUGUUGUCAUUGUUUUAAAACUGCUGCGCCACCGUGGUUCUCUUAUGAUGUAGUUACACGCAAUACAAUAUAUUUGUCGACACUCCAAGAGUAUACGUAUACGUAUUACCUACUCGUAAAGUCGACAAAUUAAAACGAUACACUUACUCCGAAGGGGAGACGACGAUUAAACAAUAUGUUCACGUGUGCGGAAAUUUCGCUAAUUUGCUACAAUGCUAAUCAACUAUAUAUGGCGUGGCAAUCGACAUUCGACAGAGUAACUUAUAGGUAUAUAAUCGAGGAUUCAGGUUUCGCAGUCGUGAUUGAAUAAGGCAUUGCUAACGAUAGAUGAUGUUUCCCAUUGGUAGAAUGAGUUCAAUUUAAACCAAAAGUGAUCGGUUUUGUUCGCAGAUUGCAGAAAAUGGUCCGAAGACUGACCAACAUCAGCGGAUGACCGAUGGUUCCAAUUCAUCGUUAAAUUUUAAUUAUUUCAGAGACUCAGAGUUAGGCUUCGUUGUUGUUAUCGAAUAAGAAAUUGAUAAUGAUGGUGGAUAUUUUCCAUUUCCAGAGACAAAAUAGUUUCAAUUCGAGCCAAAAGUGACCGGUUUUGUUCGCAGAAUGCAGUCAGUGGUCCGAAAGUGAACCAGAUUCAGCGGAUGGCCGAUGGUUCCAAAUUCGUUAAAUUUUAAUUAGGCUUUGCUGUUGCUAUCGAAUAAGAAAUUGAUAACGAUGGUCCAUUUCCAAAGACAAAUAGUUUCAGUUCGAGCUAAAAGUGACCGGUUUUGUUCGCAGAAUGCAGACAGUGGUCCGAAAGUGACCUAGCUUCAGCGGUAUAGUCGGUCUUGCUGUUGUUAUCGAAUACGUAAGGAAUUGCUAAAUGUUGGAUAUUCUCCAGAUACAAAAAUGGUUUCAAUUAAAGCCGAAGUGAUCGGUUUCGUUCGCAGAUUAAUUGCAGAUGGCAAUCCGAAGGUGAUCGCAAUUCGCAAACCAACCUAAGCGGACUGGUACUUAUUCGUACGUUCAUUUUCUUCGAAGUAUGCUUUUGGUUUUCGAAAAAAAAUGGUGAAUUUCUACAGAUAAUGUGAAGUGCAGAUAAGAAGAACCUGAACAGCGUUUGUCAUAAUUGACAUUGCCUUUAAUCACAUUAUUAUCUCUUUUUUUGACAACUUUAAAAAUACCUACCUACAGGUCCAUUCUCUAUUCUCUUUCUUUUGUGGUUUUGAGAAUAAUCCGGAAGUUGAGUGAGCGACGUUGCUAAGAUAAUCGAGAUUUUAAUACCCAACUUUAGCUUUUUCCUGGAUCAGUUCUUGUAGUUUUUCUUUUUGUAAAAUAAUUAUCAUGUUUUGUUAUCUCAAAGUUAAAAAUAGUUCAAGGGAUUAACUUAUGUAGAAAUUGUAAUGUAUGAUAAGUACUGUAAAAUAUAUGACUAUCUAUAUGUUCCAAGAAUCGAGUGUAAUUUUUCAUUUUUUGUUGGUAAAUUUGUAUACCUACCUAAUACUUACAUGUGCAGUAACGAGUUUUUUUUUCACGUGAUACUCACUUUUGACUUUACAAGAAUAAAAUGUAAU